Molecule: long non-coding RNA, 2043 nt
Organism: Piliocolobus tephrosceles (Ugandan red Colobus)
Lineage: Eukaryota; Metazoa; Chordata; Mammalia; Primates; Cercopithecidae
Exons: 2
Source: RefSeq, a predicted model, not a curated record
CAUACCACAGCAUCUGGCACCAUGGCUGCUCUGUGACCUUGAGGAAUCUCUGUGGACCUUCAGCAUAGGAGAGAUUCACAGCUUAUCAGAUUCACCCCUGAGCUUCAGGACCUGGGUUCACAGUUAAAGACCUUCCCAGCUUGUUCUUCCAUGCCUCAGGUGAAUUUUCACUGUGGCAUGAGUGGCCUGGGGCGAGCAAGUAUUUCAAAGAAGAGGACACUAGACAGUGGAAAAGCACACGCUGGACCCAUGAACUUUCUGGAUUCACAUUUUCACUUACAACAGGCAAAAAUUUGAUAACCUCAGAUAUAAGUGAUAGAAACAGAAGUUUUUCAGUAAACUUUCUGGGAGAUACGUGAUGAAUGGAGAUACGUUCAAACUCCUGCCCCAAAGCAGAAGGGGGCCCACAGCUCUAUCUCUGGCUGGGUACUGGAGGCUUACGGAGGGGCUGCUCUGCAGGCUGGAAGUAUAAGUACAGAAGGUAGCAGCUGGGCCUAGAGACUGGAUAUAUGAACAGGCUAGCCUGCUAGAGUUGUCAAUCUAAAGACAGCACGGUGAGGCCAUAGUGAAUCUAGAGCAUGAGAUCAAGUCCAGCAGUUCCCUGAGAUACUAAGGCUGACCACAGGAUUCAUAAUAUUGUGCACAAUGGACAAGCCCUGCAGAGAGCCAUGAGUCAUGAGAGUUGCACUUUCAGUCAUGUAAUGUAAUGACAGACCCGUCAGCCUACAAAUAAGACAGGAGACUCUCCAGGAAACAGGUGCCCACCUGGCUCAGGCACACUGGGCCGGCUACGGAGACUCUGAGGUAUGCAUGUGCCACCACAGGGUGAAGCUGUUGCCCUGCAACUCAGUGGGGUUGUGCCAACAGAAAACAUCCCCAUUGGCAGCAUCAUGGAAGCAGGUUGUUCAAAUAAGCAUUUAUUAGGAGGUGAAGGGGAAAUGCCUAACUUACCUUUACUUGGAAAGACCUAAAUUCUCUGAGGUCUAAAAUCAGAGCAGAGAGAAGUGCUGCUGGCAUUGUGAAAGGAAUUCUAACCAGUGGGGGACAAUGAGAGAGACUGAAAAGUGCAGCCAGGUGCAUCCUGUGCCUGGAACAACCUGUAGGUCACAGAAUCUACACUUUCUUAGUGACACAGUGUAAUACAUUUAGUCCAUCACGUUAUCUAAGAACUCUUUCAGGGAUGGGUGCUGAAUCUUACUUGUUUAUUGGUAUGAGUACUUUUGAAGUGAACAAACUGGUAUUAAACUGCUUUGCUACCCUGUUUAGAGAAAUGCACAGGAUUCUGAGAAGAAGCUUCAGCCAACAGAAGCAUGACUCCUUUGAAUGUAUCCGAGCCUUUUUUCCUUUCAUUCUUUUUUGCUGGCAUUUUUAACCCAUGGAUCAUGAAAAAAAAAAUUCCCCCUAAAGAUCACUGUUUCAUUAAAUAGACCACCAUCUUCCAGCCAACUCUGGGAUCUGUCUGCCCAUGGCCACAAUGAGCAGAUGCUAGGUUCCAUCACUGUAAUGUGGAGAUGUGGGCAUCCAUGCAAUUCUUCCCCUGGUUCAUAAUGAUACUUUGAAAUACAAUCUGCUAUUUAAAACAGCUGUUGUUGAUUUACUUGGGACACAUGCUGAUUUUACGUCAAACAGAAUGUCAUGUGAACUUCUCCAAGGAGUCCUAGGGGAAAAAAAAGAACAGCAUAGAAGAUAAGAACAGCAUUUAUAAAUGUUUGCCUACGUUGGAAAUCCCCAAUAUAAAAUUUUUUGAUACUCUGGGAAAUAACAUACCUAUGUAACUGACUUAAUAUUUCUUAUUCCAUCUUACAAUCUCCUAUGCUGAUAUGAGCAAAGAGAAAAAAGAAAAAAAUCCCCUACUGACAAUGAAAUGCUUGUUACACUGAUGAAACCUUUGAUAAAUACUGAAAAAUAUGUAUCUUCAGGGAAGUACCUUACUUCUUCAAGUCUUCUCUUUCUGUUCCAUCUUCCUUUCCCCCCUAACCUCAACGAAUUUCCAUCAUCAUUAUUUUCCCUGAAAUUAAUACAAAUUUAUCUGGUUUAAAAAAA